UGGAAAUGCUGGGCCCUUCGAGGUUAGCUUAAACUGAAGAGAGGAACUUGGUUAGAAUACAGACAUCUCUGAUGCUGUGUCCCGGAUGUUGAGCUUCCAGCUCUGAUGGCACAUUCUGUCAACUCAGCUCUGUUUUGAGUGGAACUGAACACUCAGUGAUGGCUAAAAACAGCAGUUGACUAAACUAAUUAAGCUACAUGUAGACAGUGACGGAGGCGGAAAGAUAGGCCGAGACAGGCCCUUUGGAAAUUAUCCUGAGCAUUCUUUUUUUUACAGAAGAACAGUAAAACAGACUUGUUAUUGGCAGCCCAUUAGUGCUCAGGAGAGGCGGUCUCCAGCAUGACAUCAGCCAGCGGCUCGACCCAAAUCUAGUAUUUCACCAGAGAGCCUAACGCUGCUGGCUUUCCAACUGUGUGGAAGACAAAAUAACGAACAGCUAUUACAUAUCUGGACUCGGUCUGCGCAAACCACUUCAAGCCACAGCAAAGGAGGCGGCCUUCCAGCCUUGAGCCUGUAGAAGGUUCAUGAAUGGAAACCUGGAUGGAUGUGUUGUGGUCUUGGCCGCUCCACUUCUGCCCGCAGCCCAGGAGGGGGGCCCUGUGUCUCCUGCUCAGGCCUGCACAGGAUACAGGCGUAACAAAGACAAGGAUGAAAUAAGUCCUGUGAUGGAGAGACAAGCAAAAUUCUACCUGACUUCACAGGAGGAAGAAGUGUGCUGUGCCAGGGGGAACAGGAGAAAGCUUCAUGGAAGAGGUCACAGGAAAUGGGUAGCUAUCCAGCUAAAUAGAUUUCAUGCUUGACUUCAGUGGAAUAGCUCAAAUGAUGAUCUGUUUGGGAGAGUAAAUUAAAGAGUUUCCAUCCGAGGUUGGUUGAAUCCACAGAUACGGAACCCACAGAUAUAGAGGGCCAACCAUACUGAGUCCUGACCUCACCCAUUCCUUCUACCCCCAUCUCUCCUAAUCCUUAAACUUCCUUGCAAUUCCUGGAGCAGAAUACUCGUGAAGGAGUCAGGGGUUGUCUUCCCUUCCUAGAAGCAAUGCUUCUAUGUUCUCAUUUGAUGUUGAAUAAAACAUUAAACAGAAAAGCUUUGAUAACA
Molecule: long non-coding RNA, 1096 nt
Filed under: Pan troglodytes (chimpanzee)
Lineage: Eukaryota; Metazoa; Chordata; Mammalia; Primates; Hominidae
Description: lincRNA
Source: RNAcentral